UCCCAGUGGGUACGGCCACCCAAGGGAGGAACUCGACCAAUAGGUCCAAGGAGGCAACUGCAGAUUAGUUUAAUAAACAGAUAGAUAGAUAUUUGACUAUGCAAUUAAUAAAACCAUACAUUGCCUCGCUAAUGCAAUAUGAAUAUUAUGCAACUAUGCAACUGCAUAAUCAACUAGUAGAUAUGUUAAUUCUACAUUUACUUUGCUACUUUAGCUCAUUUCAUUCAAUUGUAAGGUUUCCAUUACCUUAUGUUCACAACUCAAGUUCAACUUGCUUCUAAGGUCUCUAUUACCUCAGGUUCUUGCCUCGAUCACUAGCUUAUAAGGUUCCCAUUAACCUAAUCAAGCUAACCACCCGACUCGGCCUCGAGUCAAUCAUCCGCGGAUAGUCCGUGCACUGGCUGCACCUCAGCCUGGCUGCCGUCGCAGCCUACCGCAGAUCGCAUGCAUUAUUUAGCAUUUCUAUAAUAUGUUCAUCAUGCAUUCUAUGGUAGUCGUAGCAUAGCAAUUAACAUGCAUUCGCCUAGCAUUUAACUCUUGCAUUCAUCUACUAUUUAUAUGCAUCAAUAUGAAUUUACAUUUCUCUUAGACAUAAAGGGCGACCUAGUCGCUUCGGUAAGCACAACCCACCUUAACUUACUCUCCGAUUGCUUGUAGUCACUUGCAAUCGGCCGCCCGCGACACCCGCGAUCCGGUUUGGCUCGAACUCUCGCGCAAUCACCCAAACGAUCUCCGAUUUGCGAUCCGAAAAUUAAAGGUCUUCGGUUAUGUGCCACGGUGCUUCAAAUCCGUUUUUAUGAUUUUACGACGUCGCCUCGGCCCUUCAGGCGGAAACGAAGCCUAAACGUCCGUUUCUUUAAUAACUUUGUAACGGCUCGUCGGAUUGCCGAUCCGUCUUCGCCAACGCGUUUCGUUACCUAGCAAUUAGGUUUAUAUAUGUUCAAUUUAGAUCAAACCCUCAUAUUUUAAAAAUUUACAUUUUGGAGCCCUAGGUUACAACUAUGCAAGAAAUCUCUAAAUUGAUCCAUGAUUCAAGCAUUAAUCAUCUAGAUAGGAUGCUAGGACUCCUCUAAAUCCAUUUAUAAGGUAUUUAAACCAAGCAUUAAAGAUCUACCAUUAAAGGGCUGUCACGCCCCGGGACCGGCGGAGGCCCUCCCGGUAGCGUGCCCAGACCCGCCAUAUGUCUACACAUAUAAGGCGUCUAGAAUAAAAGCGGAAGUAAAAGCAAGUAAUAGAACAAAUAGAAAAAGUGAAAUAACUAGCAACUAAUGAUAUCAGAGCGAGAAAAGUUCUAACAUCUAUAUCAAAGUAAAGCUAGUCAAACAAAGAAACCAUAAGUAGUACAAUAACUAUCUCUAGUACAAAAAUGGUGGUCUCUAUACAUAUACGGGUACAACUCUCAACCUCUCACAAAAAGAAAACAAGAGAGGUAAACCACCUAUCGAACGAUCCCUCGGUAAACACGCUAGCCCGAGGCGAUACCCUUUCCGCGAUCCCUGGCCUCUCCCUGCGUGGAAGGCUCUGAAAAACAUCGAGAAAAAGAGGGCGUGAGAACUAUAAUUUAUAGUUCCCAGUGGGCAAUUACUGACCCCAGCUCACUGCACCACUAGGCCCCAAAAGAAAAAGGUAAAUAACGACAUAUAGUAAUAUGCAAUAAAUAGCAAACAUGAAAACUGCUGAAAGAAAGCAUGAUUGAAAUGCUAUACUACUAUGUCUCAACAUAAUACACAAGUAAACCUCACGAUGCAAUAUGUCAAUGCACAAGGGUAAACUCUAUCCAAACAACCGAGUAUACUACGAUGCAAUAAUGAAACCGGCAAGUAUAAUAAAUGUACCAAUGCUAUAUCAUAAGCGUGUCCAAGUAGUCCAACUACUAGUAGUGAUUGUUCAUAUUCCACACCGUGUCGAUUUUCAUUUCCAAUUUAAGGACCUACCCAAGGUAGUCCAGUUUGUGCCGCCUAAGUGCCGGUGGUAGCCCGACAUUCCUACACAUGGAAUGUGUCUGUCCCACUCGACCCCGUAGGCGUCUCAAUACCGCACGAGCGAACAAAAGUCGCAUAGGCCAACUCCAGAGUGCCGGCUUGUGGGGAGCGACCCUCACAAGCAUGUGCGAAUGAGCACAAAUGGCAAACAAGCAAGGUCACUGUCUCACAUACCCAAUCCUCAUGUCUCUAACAUGGUAUAGUCACUAGCAUCCCGAAGAUCUAGUUCAGAGUCAUAAUGUGAAGUCCCAACACACACUUGCUUAGUGCCUCUUUAUGACACUUAAGCUCCACAACUAAUCAUGUUCCAAUUAAGACAUUAACAUUAAUGCUCACUAUGCCCCGGGCCCCAAUGCCUCUUCAUGACAUUGGCCCAAUCUCACAUAUCAUCUAAGUUCCUAAGCCUCUCUAGGCUUUCAAAAAUCCCUAAUGUCACAUCUGGUAUAUAGUUUGAAUGCAUGAAAGCAAGGUUCGUUUUCAUAAUAGGGAUUAUAAUUUCAAGUUUCAACUAGAAUGCUAGGCCGCACAUGCAUGCUCUCUACUAUAUAGAGGUCCCAAAAUUUACUACACAUAACCUAUGCAUGCUAAGCAUUCUAAAAUUCAUAAUAAAUACAUUUAACAUGAAAAUGCAAGAAUUUCAACUUUACGAAACAUUUAACACUAAAUAUGAGCAUUUCUCAUAUUGUAUGCUAGGCCAAACCCACCGAACCGUCGCGUGCUCCUUCGAUUCGUCGAACGGAGUUGUCCACGAGCCUCAAGAUACCCUAAAGUGAUCAGCGAAGAGAUACGAGAGCAUUACGACCAACCAUGAGCUCAAACAUCAAUCUAGAAACAAAUAGGGCCAAAAUUCACCUCAAGAGAAGAAAUCUCUUCUAAAGCUCCAAAAGAGAGCUAGAACCCUUCCAAUCCAAGCUCAAGGAAGGCUCUAAACCAAUUAAUCUAGCCUCAAAAACCCUAGAUCAAAAAGCCCCAAAAUCAACCGAAAAUCUCAUUUCUAGGGUUCCAUUUACAAAAACUUUCAAAACAAGAUCUAGAGGAGGGAAAUAAGCAACAAACCUCCUUAGAAGCUCCAAUCCUAGCUCCAAAGGUGUAGAUCUCCUCCUAUGCAAGCUCCAAGUCCAAGCCCCAAGCACCAAGGAAGAAGAGAGGGUGAGGAAGAUGCUCCAAGUCCUCUAAAAGCUCUCAAUCUUCUUCUUCUUCCUUCCUCCUUCUCCUUCUCCUUCUCCUUCUUCUUUUUCUCCUCUACCAAGGGUGUGGAGAGAGUUGAGAGAAGAGAAAUGAGGAGAAGAGAGGGUAGAGGGGUCAUAUAGACCCUCUAUUGUAACAAAAUCCCAAGAGGCCCCUAAAAAAUCCAAUAUUACAUCAGCCCGAACUGGGCAGUUUUCGCCCAGAGGGACCGGUCUCUCCCAAGCAGGGACCGGUCUCUCGCUGCGAACCCGAAAAACCAUCGUUCGGGAACCGGUCUCUCCCUGCGUGGGACCGGUCUCUCACUGGCGAAGACUGCUCAGGGGGACGCUCGCCUGCGCAGGCGACCGGUUGCCUCAGGCUGCCUACUGUCAUUAGGGGACGACGUCUUUUCCUCCAGGUGACCCCGUCCCGAGAGUGAAAACUCUCAGGACCCAACCAAACGUCAAGUUUUCCGAACUUUUUAGGUCGAAGACAUUUCUACAGACCUCACCCCAGUGCUGGAAAGCUCGAAAUAUAUCCAAACACCUCGAACCUCGCAAAUUUGCAAAGGCCGUGUGUUACAUUCAAGAAGCACUUUUUGUGUUUUGGAAGCAGUUCUUACAGCUGUCCCCAAUGGGUAUUCUCUCAUCGACAGUUAGAGUCGAUCCGAAUGAAGUACAAUCACGAAUUUCCGAGAUCACUUCCUUACAAUUUUGAGAACGCUAUUAACCCUAUAUGCUAUGCAUGAAGAAUAUAAUGUGAGCACCAAUGAGAAUGAAAGAACAAUGUGAACAAUAAAACAUAGUUCGAGUGGCAUUCGACCAAUGUAAAAUAAAGGGACACUAGUAGUGUGUGUGGCAUCAAAGAGAAAUGUGACGCAAGAACAUGAUAAUGAUUAGAGACAAGUAAGAAAAUGAAAGUAGCAAUAAAGAAUGAGUAAGUUAACGAACAUAUUGCAGAGUUAGCAAAUAAAGUGUGUAAAGACACUAGAGUUAGUGUAAAAACAUGAUUGAACUAUAUAUCCUUAAGUUAAGGCUUGAUCAUUUUGCUAUGAGUUCGGUGCUUGAUGGGCGGUCACUCCCACUCGAUGCGAUACUCUCCGAAGUUUGCAUCACGGGUUGGAAUAAACCCAGGAGUCUUAGCGGGAGGCAGAUGAGGCCCGCGAUGAUGGACUUAAUGUUGGCAGUUAAUGUGGCGAAAUCGCCCGGGGUUAGCCGUCGAGAUUCAAAAGAAGCAAAGAACAAAGAUUAAAGAUAAAGAGUAAGAACAAACGAAUGCAUACAGCUGGCAUGAUUUACGUUCAGCAUAUUUCUUGCUUUAUUGUUCGACGCAUCAUUACAUGCAUGAUUAUAGUUUGGUUACUAUUUCUACUUAUCCUUUCUAUUAAUGCUGAGUUAGUCCUAAUAGAAAAUCGUGAGAAUUUUGGGGCGAACCGCACUGGAAACUUCGUUGUAGUUCUCACCCCACUAUUUCAACAAAGCCGGGACCGAGCGAGCCGGCGAGCGACCGCGGUAAAGGUAUCAUGCCUAUAGAAUGGCUACCAAGUCGGAGUUUAACAUUUGUAGUAGAUCCUUUAUUCAUCUUUUUGUAUUUGCCUGAAUUGAGAUGUAUAAGAAAAGGAAUGUUAUUUAUCCUCGAGGGAGAAUGUGAUGUAAAAUAGAAAUGAUGAAAAGUAUGUAAAGACUAUGAAUGCAAUGUAUGCUGAUCAAAGAGAAUCAUAGUACUUGUGUAUUGUUUAGUUUCCUUUCUUGAUCACUGCAUGGCUAUUGCUUAUCUCCGUGUAAGCCGUUUGUGUAUGUUUCCGCUUAGUGCUUUUCUCAUACUUCGAAAGAUGUACAGGUGAUAUGAGCGUUGGAGGAAUAAGGGGCAAAACCUGUCCUUUCGCGGCGUGUUGACGUGCUCGCGCCCGGCCAACUUGGUAUCUGGUCCGACGGGUAUGACAGAUAUUUGGUAAUCAGAGCCAAGAGUGAAAGAAUAAGGAAUGGACUCUAGAGGCCCUUAGAUUGGAGAGACCUUAAGGAUCUAGGAAACGUGAAGUAUCGUGGAAUCAAAGUUAAGCCGAAAAGCAUGUGAUGGGUUAAGCUUGGGAUGUCUCUAAUUGAUAGAACUAGUUAAUUUCGUUCGUGCUUUCUUCUCGUGUUUGUGUCGGGCGGCCCGAAACACAUAAUGCUUGCGGGGCAAGAACGAAUGCAUAAGUGCUAUUCGCCAAAAUGGGUAUGCGUCAAGUAAUGUCGUACAGUGCUAAUGUGUAUUGGCUUCGUUUAUAUCUCUGCAACACAACNNNNNNNNNNNNNNNNNNNNNNNNNNNNNNNNNNNNNNNNNNNNNNNNNNNNNNNNNNNNNNNNNNNNNNNNNNNNNNNNNNNNNNNNNNNNNNNNNNNNGCGGUCGGCCGGAGGAACCGUUCCGAGAGGUCGGAGGUGCGGCGCGGUCGGGCUGAAUCGGUGCGCAGCGUGAGAUCCUCCCCAACGCCCUUCGGGUUCGGCUUCCCGGCGACGCAGCGGAGCGGAGGAGGUCGGGUACGUGCGCGAGAGGCGAGGAAGGCGAUUGCCACGGGUGGGCGCGCGCGUUGAAGCGGCCCUUCGGCUCCGCACGUGUCUGGCCCAGGAGGUCAGCGGCGCGGCGCGCGCAGGAUGCGGGGACGCGCCGCGGCGUAGUUGCCGGAUGUCGCUGGGCGAUUGGGGCGCACGGUCCGAAUAAGCGCUGUGACGCAGGUUCGAGUGGCUCGCUGGUUACCAGGUAGCAGCAGGACGGGUACGGCGGGUUGGUGCCGGGCGCAGGCGAGGAGCGGAGUAUGGCUCGCGAGUAUGAUGCUCAAAGGUGAAAACUUCCUUCGCAUUUGCCAAGUCGGAGGAGAGGGUGGCCGGAGAGGCAAGAGAGAGUCAGGGGCUUUCGCGUCGAGCGCACCGGCGGCGGCUGCUCACGGGUUGAGGCAUGGACGGUGCUGGCGCUAGGUUAUUAAUGUAAAGUGGGAGUCCAAAGUAUAGGAAACCUAUUUGCCAUUUUUUCAAGUGUCUUGCGAGAACCCCUCAAAGUUCUAUAUUUACAGUCCACCCCCUCCUGAUGUGUUAUCGGUUAGUCAUCACGUCGAAUCGCGCAAGACCACGCAAUAAAUAUUAGACCUUUUCCGAAGAUUCGAUUUUCCAACUUGGAUGUACUACAUUUCACAAUUUUCCGAAGAUCCGUCAGUGGUACUUUGAUCCGGACUAGCUUGCGGGUUCAAGUUAACGUGGUCGAACUCUGAUUUUUUCAUCAAUUUGUCAGGGAUGUCGCGACCGGACCAUCCGCUCUUAAUUAAUUCAUUAUUCACGAUUACUAAUGUGUAAUACCAUAUAACUGCGCAGGAUAUUGAUUCCUACCAUGUAGGACCCGAUACAUUUUAACGUACUCAGGUCCAAGACGGGCGCGACAGAAGCUUGAAUGCACGAAAGACAAGAGCGAAAACUCUCUUUUCGUAAACUCCUUUUUCUCAAAAAUCGUGCAUCAGAUCUGAAAAUCUCGUCGUGCCAUUGGUUCCAAACUGCACGACGAACGAGUAUUGGACCUAUGAACGAUUCCGAUACGGCGAACUCUACUCCGUGCUUGUCGGAAACGGAUUUCUAGCACUUAAGUGAAAACUAUAAUCGCGUCCAAUUCUCCAUUUUAGCUUCAUUUUUCCUGAAUUGACGAUGCUUAUGUAAUUAUUAACUACUUAUUUUUCAACAGAGAGUUUGUUCACUGUAAAAAUCUCAUUCUUUAUUACUAAAUACCUCGACAUAAAGCUCCAAUCCGUCUUCGUCUCUCAGAUCUCCCAAGAUUAUUCCUUCUGAUCUACCGGUUGUACUCAACGCUUUAGCUUUGGACCUGUCGUUUUUCACGAACACCGCGCUUAGGACACAAGCACCCAUUUAAAAUAUCUCUGAAGAAAAUACUUGUUAAUAUAAAUAUUCCAUUAAAAAUUAAGAAUCAUUAUAUUUUUUUUUAAUACAAAAAAUCCAUUGAUUUUAUAAGAACCUUAAGAGAUAUUCUAUAGAAACAUGAACUAAUCAUCAACAAAUCAGGCAAACAAUCUUUUCAGGAAAUUGAAAACUUAGGUUUGAAUAUGAACCUAAUAUUUGUUCCAAAACAAGAAAUACUAUGAGAAAUAUGAACAACCGUUCAAUACAAUUAUCGAGCUAACAUGAUCUUUCAGCAAGAUCUCUAAAUCAAGAUUAAAAAUCUGACGAACCAUUUCGGAAGUAUAUAUACAAAUCACAAAUCCGAAAUCAUACUCAAAUUCGGUGUUAAAUAUGAGAAUUGAGAGGAAAUGCUUUUGAGCAAGAAAGGCAAGAGAAAAACAGGAAAUUGGAUGCUAACACGAGCAAAACCCUUUUGGUCGGCGAGGACCGCUUCUCGCCUGGACGGUCCAAGCCUUAAUUUUUAAAAUUUUUAAAUGAGCUUCAAUUCCAGAAUAUUGAGACUGUAAGUAUGUCACAUUUCAACAUCAAAAUAACCAUUUCCAGCUCCAAACUUCAAUGAGGUUCAUAAAUAAAUUUUUGAAAAUCAUCUCAGGAUAUUUCAAUUUACAUAUUUGACCGAUAUAUCCAAUGAUAUGCUAGAUACAUAUAAAUAAAAUUCACUAUGCAAUCUAGAAUUUGUAUAUGUUGCAUCAUAUUUUUAAGAAAAUGAAUAAAAUUCUCCGUUGUGAAUAACUAUAUGUUCAAAUUGAUUUAUGCACAUAUUCGAGAAGAGUGCUUUUGAGCAUUUUUAUUUUACAGUCACUUAUUACCUACAAAAUGUUAUAGCUCUUUGAGCAUAUUAUUUUUACAUGUUUUUCAUUGGAAGUACUUUUUUGUCUUACAUAGAUACUUUAAUCAAUUGUAGAGAUAACAUGACGAGACGACCGGUGGUAGCUCUUUCUCUAUGGUGUAGUGUCCUCCAAGCGAUGAACUCUUUCACUUGAUUAAAUUUAUAGCUAAAUGGAAGAACUCCCCUAAUUAUGUGACUCAUCAAUAUGAUUUAUCGCAAUUUCAAAAAAACAGAAGAUUUUAUCAUCUAAACUAAUAGUCAAACAAACAUUGCAACAUUAGUUCAAGAUGAGGUGCUGAAUUUAUUAUUGCAUGUCUUUCAUGAUUAUCGUUCAAAAAUUAUGUCAUAGAGGUAACGCCUGACGUGACAUCAGAUUAAUAUGAUAAUUCAGCAACAAUCAUCUCCCAAUGCAUAUUAUUCCGAAAUGCAGCUCAAACACCGAAAUAUUGCAAUAAAAUGCACAGCACAUUACUAUGGUCAAUAAAAUAUUAGAUUGAGGUUCAUUACAAUUACUCUUUUAAUGAGAAACGCUUUUGAUCCGAAAGUUUGGUUAAAUAUCUGCAAGUUGAUUUUCAGUUGAAUGUAGUCAGUUGUAAAACGUUAUUCAACCAGUUCUCUUAAAGUGAUACCUUAGUUUUAAGAUGUUUGUCGAGAAUGUAAACCGUUUUAGAAAAUUAUUGCCUUUUGGCACGGUAAUGUAAGGGUAGUGGAGGAAUCCUGUCGUAGUAAGUUUCAUCAGAUUAAUAGCUAGAGAACUUCUGGCCGAAUUUACUCACUCUUUUGCAGUGGAAAUGGAAUCAAUUUUGUUCUUAUGUGCCAAGCGGACACAAUUCCCAAUGUUAAAACAAGUCAUAUUACUUUUCGAUAUCUGCGGACCGCACUAGCGCUCUAUACAUUAAUAAGAGAUGUUCCCAUAGUAUACCAAGCCAUACCGUUGUUCCUUUAACUACGAUAUCCUUUAAUUUUCAGAUUUAUUCCUUAGUUGCUGAUACAGCCACAAUCAACACUAAACAAUAUCUGGUUCUUUAUCGCAGUCAGUACCUAGGUACAAUCAUCUUCUGUAUUGUUUUCGACUUGCUUUGAUUCAAUCCGUCCUUUUUGCUUGUACCCAUGGUGUCAAAACUUUGCGUGGUCAAUCAAUUUCUUAAUAGUCCUUUGUACGUGGUCUGAGCAAUGACUCUGAUCUUUAUUGGUUAAUUGAAUCUAAGGAAUUAAUUAAGCUCCCUCUCUAUAUCUCAAAUCGCUGUUCUUUAAAUUUGCAAAAUCAGCGUCAUCCUUAUCUUUAGAGCCCAAAAACUAUGUCAUCAAUAUAUUUGACCCAAAUAAAUUAUUCGUUCAAGUGUUUUACAAAAUUCAUCUUGCUCCCCUCUGUUAUAGCCUUUUCAAAGAUAUUUUGUCAGCGUUCGUACCAUGUCGCGGAGAUUAUUUUAGUCCUAAAGUGCCUUUUUCAGUCGUAAAAACGUUUUGGAAAUUUGGUCUAUAAACGUUGAUUGUUCAACAUAAAUUCCUUCUUUAAAACAUUAGAAAACGCCUUUUGAGCAUCUUUGAAAGAGCGUGAUUUAAAUGCAAGACUUAUUGACAUAGUACGAAUAGAUUCAAGACGGGACCGAGCAAAGGUUCAUCGUAAGUCUAUUCCCCAUUUGUGAGUCCCCUGGCCACAAGUCCUCGCUUUGUUCGGUCAUAGUACUCUUAUUUUUUUAUUCUUAAAAAUCCAUUUGUACUAAUAAUUGUGUUGUUGAUAAGGACGUAGCACCAUUCAUAAUAUUCGACAAUAUUGACCAGUUCUGCUUGCAUGGCAUUAUCCAUUUCUCACAAAAGCUUCGUCGACAUUCUUUCGGCUCGAUCAAAGAACUAGUUGAAUUCAAUGUAAAUGACUUUUUCGCACACCAAUUAAGAUCCCCAUUUCAUUUUGAUAAAGGAUGAUCAUCUUGACUCUGUCAGGGUGAGUUAGGGAGAUAUGCUUAGGAUUCAGAAGGAUGUUUUGUGAUUCAGUAUGAUCAUUUAAUGCAUAUUUUCAAAGAUUCAUUGAAUUAUCAAGGUAGAACACAUCUUCACAGGAAUACAACGAGAAUUCAUGAUCAUUAUUAUUCAUCAAAGAUUAGAGAACAUUACAGAAGAACUUACGAAAGCUUUUAUCUACUUUUAUAUUGAUAGACUCUAUUACUUAUUGAUCGUAAAUGUAGCCGAUAAGCACGUUGUCAGUAGAAUAACAAGAUUGCCUUCGUCACUGCGGGAGUCAAUUUUCAAGAUUCACACUCCGAAGGAUAAAAAUUACUCUCUGAGGACAGAAAGAUUUAAGUUUGUUUACUCAAGCCAAGUUAUAGGCGAUUCAUUGCCGAGCACAUAUAUCCGAUAUAACUAAUGACUUAAUGUUGCGAGCCCAAAAAUGAUAGUCAAUUUUUUACUAUGAAGUAACACGAGCAUCUCCUGUACAACCCGUUCUUGCGUUCAACCACUCGUUUGUUGGUUAUAGGGGGCGAGAUUCAUGUUUUUACAUUGAAACCAGAAUCACAAUUUAGAAUUUAUAUUCCCCUAUGCUUCGAAUUCUGUACAAUUUUAUCAUUUUGGUCAGUCAUAAGGACGAAACAGAUUAUCCCAAAAAGAAUAAAAGUAUAGCUUUUUUUGUAAGAAGGCACUCAUACAAAGCGAUAAUAUCAUCACAAUAAGCAGAUAUAAUAUAUUACCAAACUAUUGAUCUUAGAUGUCAUCAGUAAUGUGAGUACUUAAGGUUAUUUCCCUAAGUGGUUCAAGGUCUUAUGUGUGCUUAGUUUUGUUUCCCAUUGGUCCCAACACAAGUUUUUUAAAAUCAUCUUAGGUACUUAUACUCUUUUGUAUCUUGGGCUCCUUAAAGUUUAUUUGACCUAGUCGUCUGCAUAUAAGUUCAUUUCUUAUCGCGUAGUUAUAAUUUAUUGGACAACUCUGAAUCAUAAAAAUUUUCUGAGAAUCUAAUGCUCUUUAUACGUAUUGUUCAUCAGAGUUAAAUGGAUUCUUAUCAGAAAUCCAAAACAUCAUUACACGUUGGUUAUCUACGAGAUUAGUUGAGCCCUCAACAUAAAAGACAUCUUUCAACGUGAGGCCCUUGAGAUGCACGUUACUUUUCCAACAUGGUUUGCGAUCGACGUUCCCCAAAACAACAGUCCUCCGGAGAUUUUGUUCCAAAGAAGUAACCUUUUUAUUCCUGUCAUGUGUGACGGGAACAAACAUCUCAUAUACCUGGUGCAUUAUUAUAAGAUUAGCGAAUGUGAUGUAUGCAUGGGUUUACUUUUGCACCAACUUACGUGUCGUGUGUCAGUUCGUUGCUUUGGUUAUGCUGAUUGUCGACGUUUGGGAAUUGACUUCUUCUAUUCCUCUUCUUUGUUUCAAUUGCGGUUUUUUUGUAUACCAACCUUCUUUGGCAGUUGAUUUUUAGAUAUGAUAUUCUUCAUGAAUAUGUUUUUGAUUCAAGGGUGUAUUGCGCUCUCUCCCCUUUUUUGCGAUUUUUUAUUGCUAAAGCCAAAUAUGAAAUUUAUUUAGGUUGAUUGUUUUGAGAGGAACGAAUACCAUGAGCUUAAGAACAGCAUAAUGAGUCCCAUCUUUCUUUGCUGUUUGUCACUAGGUCCUUCUACCCAUCCAAUUUUUGUUUGACAGGGCAUCUUGUCGAGUAGUUUAUCUUGAUCCGACGAUAUUGGUUUCAAAUCUGAUUAUUGUAAUAUCGUGUGUUGAAUUCAUAUUUGUUCUCUUUCUGGAUUCUGGUGAAAAGUGAUGUUCUCCAUUGAGUCUCGUUUCCUUUUCUAGAGUAAGACACUUCUGUCAUAGAUUAUAGCUUUGUCAAUACAUCUAUUCUGUUCUAAUCCUUUGUUAGAGCGCAUUUUGAAUUUUGUUCAAUCUUAGGCUUCCCCGUGUUUUGUAUGUGUUACAUUUCUUGAUUCAAAUAACAUUGUAUAUUUGUGACAUUUCUCUUCAUCCGUUCUUCAUCUGAUGAUUUCUCGAGAUGACUUCUCUUUUAGAUUCAUCGAGACCGACGGCAGAUUAACACUGAGUUUGAAUCCUGUUGCAUUAGUGUCGUGCUUUACUCCUCUUCACAUCGAAGUGAUCGUCAAUGAGAUGUCGUUCCGUAUAGUUGAUCGCUUCUUUCUUCAACACUUUUUUUAGGACAGUCAGGAUCGAUAGGCCAAUAUGCUAAAUUGUAGCAUUAAUUUGACCUUCCGUUCUUCUUUUGGAGUCUGUUGAGUUAUAGAUUUUCCUGUAUUUUGAUGGGAGACGAGCGAACCCUUUAUAUUUUUGUCUUGAAGAAGUAGGAUUGCGAGCAUUUUUUCUAGUUGAUGAAACUCUUGUUAGACGUCGUAGUUGCUUUUCCAUAUCUCCAGGCUUUUGCUCCGACUUGGAAUCUGAUGAGUUAAAUGACAUUCCUUUUGUUAUUUUAGCCUCCCUGAGUUUUAGAAAACUUGGAAGAACGGAAUUAGAGAAUGUCGUUCAUAGUUUGAAGGCACCUUUAAUUUAUUAUACCUUGAGUUCAUCUAGGAUGUGUGACCGUUCAUCUGCCCUUAUACGGAAUUCGGGAGGUUAUCAAAUUUUAUCGAACAUUUUGGAAUUCGGGAAUUUCCGCCACUUAGACAGAGUGUUUACAAUGUCUGCAACGUGUAUUACUCGUAAAAUAUGUUUUAUAUACGAUGAUAUAUUACUAGAAGCAUUUGCAUUUUGAAUCUUAAAGCUUUACAUCAGUGUGUACUGAAGUUCCAAAUUUCUUUGGCAAUUUCGCACGCCAACAGCGAGAAAUUCUGUUAUUUAAAGCAUUGAAUAAGUCAUUGAUACUCUUUUUCAUUGAACGAAGAUAUUCAUUUCCUUUUCCUUUUAUCUAGGUUCGGAACGGUAACAUGCCGACAAUUGUUAGGAUGUUUCUCAUUCAAUGUGCUGCCACUCGCUCUUCUAUACAAAGAUCCUCAUACGGCUUUACAAUAAGGUAGUAGGUGCCAUUCGAAGAGCGGGGUCGAUUGAUUUACCCUCACCAUUACACCUAUACCGUCUUGAUUACAUUGUUCAGAUCGGUUGGACCAGCUAACCAUUAAUCCCAAGUGACUGUUAGAUACGCAACAAUUCACUUCAUAUAGUUACAGAAACCGCCUCGGUUCGAUUAUGAUCUGGCCACCUGUGGCCUACCUUUCGAAAUGACUCGGCACACCGCUCACGCGCAUUUCACUGACUCUUGCCACAUGCCUUCGCCACGGGCAGGAUGCCUGGCCUUUAUGCCACAAUCCCCUCGCACUGCACAAUUUGAGCAUUCUAUCGAACUCGUGACCUUCUUUGAUUACACUUGAAGAUCAUGAUCCCGAAUCUAGAAAGGUAUACGUAACUAGAGGGGGUGAUAGUGUUUAUCGGCAAACUCAAAAAUCUGAGCAAUAAACAAGUGAGCGGAAAAUAAAACAGCACACCGAGAAUUUAACGUGGGAAAACUCCAAUUCGGAGUGAAAAACCCACGGGACCGAUCACGCGAAGAAAAUCCACUAGGAAAACUUGAGUACAAGUGAUUUUGAUAAAAAUACACGACUCAAUUUAUCGAUUUCUUGUUGAUGGUGAUCUUCGCCGGUCCUCGAUCGAUAGGAAUCCACCAAUCGACCUUGCUGCACCUCCUCGUAGCGUCAACGCCUCAAUUCCUCGAAGCGUCCACCGAAUCCUCGGCUUCACGCGAGAUCCACACGUCGAACCUCCUUCCGGAGCUUGUAGAAUCGAAGAUUUGUGAUGAUUUAACCUUUGAAUACCAUAAGCUAUGAGGGUUCACCUUUAAUCAAAAAUCUACUUGAUUCUCGUAUGAGUUCUCGAGUAAAAACGAAGAAUCAAGCCGAUUGUUGAUUGUUAGAAACUCGUUAUGUGAAUCGAAGCAUUGAAACGGAAAAAAAUAAGUUUCUAGGGUUUAGAAUCUGUAAAUAUUCAAAGCCUUAAACUUUUAGAUGACCCACAUAGCUUAUUUAUAUGUUUAGAAGACUUAGAAGUAGACUAGGAUUGCAAAAAGUCCUUUUUAAAAACCUGUGUCGUCCUCAGAGACCGGUCUUCUCGAGGAGACCGGUCUGUGAGAGACCGGUCUCUCAAGUGAGGAACCGGUCCCUCAUUGCGUGACCAAAAUCACAACGUUCGAGAACCGGUCUCUCAAGCUUGAGACCGGUCCCUUGCUGUGCGACAGAAAUACCAAGGUUCAGGAACCGGUCUCUCACCACAGGGGACCGGUUGCAUCAAGGUUCACGCAGUGAGGACCUUAGGGGAACCGGUCUCUUGACCUCAGGGACCGGUCCCUGAACACAGAAAAGUUCAGUAAAGUAUUUUUAAAGCAAUCUAAGCCUUCUGAACUUAUUCUAAUCAAAUAACUUCAUCACAAAUGAUCUUUUCUUCAUACCUUAGGUGCUAAACUUUACGAGUGAGUCUUUUUCCUUCAAUUUAGAUCUUUUCUUCAAUCUUCUGCAAUCAACUUUUCAAGACUCCAUUCAACAUUACGAAAUCCGCCAACCUAUAAAAUCCUUAACAAGGGACCGAUCCCCGAGAGCAAAAUUUUCGGGAUUUCUCCAGAAUUGCAGUUUUACUCUCUCGGGUCCCUUUACACUUCAUAUAUAGGCUUCAAUGCACUUUUAGCCUAUAGUAACUCAUUCCUUUUCGCGUUCCGCUCAUUUCGACCGAACUCGGCACGACUUACGGGGAAGUGGUAUGUUACACUCAGCUUCCUCCCGCUAAGACCGUCCUCGGGUUUACUCCAACCCGUAAUGCAAAACUCUGGAGAGCAUCGCCCGAGGGGGAGCGACCGCCCUCGAGCACGGAGCUCAUAGCAAGUAUGAUUGAAUCCUUAACUCUAAGGAUUAUAAGUUCAAUCAUGUCAUUACACUAACUCUAGUGUUCUUUUCAUCACUUUAUGUUGCUAACUCUAGCAAUCUUGGUUCUUUACAUUUCUUUACUUUUGGCUAUCUCUAGCAAUCAUGUUCUUUACUCUUUGCAUGUUCUUUAUGCCCCACUUUACAUUAACUUUAGUCAUUGCCAUUACUCUUUACAUCACAUUGAUUCUUUGCCUCACACUAACUCUAGUGUCACUUUACUUUAUAUUAUCGAAUGCCACUCGAUCUAUGUCUCAUUGUGUCACUCUGUUCUUUUGCCUCACUUUGGUGCUCACAUUUUAUCUCAUGCAUACAUAUAGGGCGAAACAUUCAUAGGAGUUCUUGACCAUCUCAUUAGGCAAAUUGUACUCACAAUAUGCAACAUCACAUUACUCUCAUCAUAUUUACCUUACAAUGCAUGCAACAAUGUAUAUAACAUAUGCUCAAUUGAAUGACACAUUAGGCAUAGAAGGAAGUUCAACGAGUUUGGAUAGCACCACCCACCUCGUAGGUUCUCAAAGGUGCUACGGUGAUUUUCUUGGGAUUUUUUAGCUUCUUAGUUCGUCACCUGCGGUAAAACGAAGCCUUAUUAGGCCAUUUUACUCAUAUCUUUACAUUAGUUUUUCAUAACGUUAAUCCGAGCGCACCAACGCGUCGGAAAUACCCCCAAUUAGGUUUCUAGAGGGUCAAUUUUACUUUGAAUCCCUUACAAGCAAAAGCUCCAAUUUGGGUGCCCUAGCUCUAUAGC
This 15491-nucleotide long non-coding RNA is filed under the name Ananas comosus (pineapple). Its description in RNAcentral is "long non-coding RNA (ACOM_LNC023358)". Lineage: Eukaryota; Viridiplantae; Streptophyta; Magnoliopsida; Poales; Bromeliaceae. The record is from RNAcentral.